This 261-nucleotide ribosomal RNA is filed under the name uncultured archaeon. Its description in RNAcentral is "partial 16S ribosomal RNA". It matches the Rfam family "Archaeal small subunit ribosomal RNA", at positions 748 to 1008 of the family's 1478-position model. The record is from RNAcentral.
UAGCCGUAAACGAUACUCGCUAGGUGUCGGCCACGGUGCGACCGUUGUCGGUGCCGUAGGGAAGCCGUGAAGCGAGCCACCUGGGAAGUACGGCCGCAAGGCUGAAACUUAAAGGAAUUGGCGGGGGAGCACCACAACGGGUGGAGCUUGCGGUUUAAUUGGAUUCAACGCCGGAAAUCUUACCGGGACCGACAGCAAUAUGAAGGCCAGGCUGAAGACUUUGCCGGAUUAGCUGAGAGGAGGUGCAUGGCGUGUGACUGU